Molecule: long non-coding RNA, 2876 nt
Organism: Tetranychus urticae (two-spotted spider mite)
Lineage: Eukaryota; Metazoa; Arthropoda; Arachnida; Trombidiformes; Tetranychidae
Source: RefSeq, a predicted model, not a curated record
UAAUUGUCCAUUAAUGGUGGAGAAACAUGUUGAUUAAUCAAUUGUUUUGUCAUAUAUUUAACGUCUGUUUUUGUGUGGGUUAACUUUAGGUCUAAAUUUUUUACAUAAUUUACCUUCACCUUUUUUUUAUUGCUUGUACAGUUUGUAAAUUUACUUAAUCACCUUUUGAUAUAAAUUGUUGUUUUAAAGUGAUGAUUAAUUUAAUGGUUUACAUUUUAUUUUUAAUUAUUUUGCAGCAUUUUAAGGGUCAACUUGAAUAUGGCGCUAUUUCAACUCGUUGCUGCUGUCUUAUUUCCCUCCUUUUUGCAUGUCACAUGAUUUUACAGACGCUUUUUGUCAAUUCAUCCCGUCUGUUCAACUUUGGCUAAUUUUUUCUAAUUCAGUUUAAUAUUGUAACUUUUUAAAUUAAUUUCACGUUGUCAAUCAUAAUCUUGUUUGUAAUUGUGUUCGGGUUGAUACUGGUCAAUUGAUUUUUGUAUUGUAUUUUUGUGUUGUUUCAUCUUUGUGUUAUCUUUUGGUCGUCUCCUUUUGUUACUUUUAAUGUGUUUUGGCUGUAUAAAGAAUCUACUUUUGAACUUCAUUCUUCUGGAUAGAUUCAAUUGUUUAACCAUAUUCUGAGGAAUUGGGUGAAGUUUCAUUGGACAUUGGCUUUACAAGGAAUCUGGAAUUAAAUUUUCUGUAGCUGCUAAAUUGUUUCUUGUGGAGGUGAUUUUUUUCCUAGCUCCUGUUAAUGAUAAGUUAAAAAUGAACUCUAAGAAUUAACAAUAGAUCAUUUCUCUUUUUUUGCUGUUGCUACUUGUGUUCUCUGAUGAUUAGGGUUAAUUUUUUAUCAAUUUAAAGUGAUAAAAAGAAAGUUAAUCUCAACAAUGAUUAUAAGAAGAUGAUGAUGAUGAUGUGUUUUAUCUUGGAAAAAAAUGUUUCUCUUGACCAAUCUUUAUCAUUUGUCAAAUGAAUGAAAGUGAAAAGGCCAUCAAUCUCUGUUAUAAAUCUACAAAUAAUUGAUGCUAUUGAAUGCCAAAAGUGAAAGCAGUAAAAAAGAAGAGGAUAAAAUGAUGAUGAAGAGAAGUUGAAAUAAAGUUUAGAGAGAGAGAGAGAGAGAGAGAGAUGAGGAAGAUGAGAGAGAAAACUUUAAAACAAUUUUUUCUCCUCAUCUUUAAGAUAUUGUUGUGAUACUAUUAAAAGCGGAUAAAAUGGCAAAGUAAUCCAAGAAGUAGAGAACCUUGAUGAUGAAUGAAUAAAACAAAAAUCAAUAAUGAUUGGUUUGAGAGAAGCAAGAGGGUCAUUUAAGGGUCAGAGAUUGUAUUAGUGUGUAUUACCGGUUUCAUUUUGUAGACAUAGUUUAUUAUUGCAGGUAAGCAACAAAAAAAAAGUUAAAUGUUGAACACGCAAUAUGCUAACAAGUUAACAAACAAGCAGCUAAAAGAGGAGCACUUUGCAUUGAGAGGCAGGUUAAAAGACAGAGACAAUUUCAAUUGCAAUCAGCUAUUAUUUUUGCAGAAUGUCUGUAAAAGUAUUUUCAUCUUGCUGUUGUACAACGAAUUAAAAAGGUAGCAAUGGCCUUUUGGAUUGGAAAAUGCUUCUUUUUUUAAAAAUAAAAAGCAAGGAAUUUGGCAAAAAAUAAAGAGAAACUUUGAUGACCCAAGAAGAGUGAACAUAAAAAUGUAAUGUGCAGGUAACUUGUAUUCGGAAGGAGCAACAAGAAGCCGAGGAUUGAAAAUGAAACAGUUGAAAUGGUUAAUGGUAAUUCUUAACCAAUUAGGAUCCAAUAAAUUGGUGAUUCGGAUACGGAUUGUUUAAAUGAGAAAAGCAAAGAAACCAAAAGUGAACAACAACAACUCAAUGUGAAGUGGAGAUGACAAUGAAUUACAGGAGCAGUUUAAAAGGAUGAAAAUGAUUCUGAUAUUGAAGCUGAUGGCGAUGCUAUUGAUGAUGAUGGUGAUGGGGAGGUAAACCAAAUGUAAAGUCUCAGUUGGAAUAAGGGAUUAGCUUAUUGAGCCUUGACUUAUUCCGUAUGGAAUCAGAGUUAGCAACAUUUUUAUACAUUAUUAUAUUCACAUUGGCAUUUAACUAGCCUUACACUCUGUACCACCCGAGGUUCACUGUCGGUUUAUGACUUGAGUAUGUACAUGGCCUCAGAUAGCUAAGUUGAUCUUUAUCACCAAGGGAAGUUUGACCUUUUCUUAUUUCUCUUCUUCUUCUUUUUCUCAUCUUUACAUUUUUUUUUCUCAACAUUUGUUUUACUUUUUCAUAUUCUUGUUUCUUCUUGCUUUUUCUAGCCUCAAUCUACAAACAAAAAGUAUUGGGCACAUGAAUUGGUCUGCAUAAUAUUAUAUUUUCUUGUUUUCUCCCUUUUACCACUCAAACAAAUACAUUAACUCUUUGGUCCACAAUUAGUCUCAAUUAUCAAGUAUUGUUUCAACAUUGAUUGAUUAAAAGGAGAGAAGCAAAAGCUGGCAAAAAGGAAAGCAACCUAAACAAGUGCAAACGGGUUAAUAAAUUACAGUGAUAAUGUGCAUUUAUUAUAAAUUUAAUCACAAACAGCCAUUUAGUUAACGACUAGACAUAAUAUCAACAUUGGAUAAGAUUAACUGUAAAUGAGAUUCAUGGCAAAAGCUUGGCUCAAGUCCAUUAAAGUCCCCAUGAUGAGCAUGAAAUGGUCUCACAAUUGAACCCACAAAUGGAUUGAAACCCAGUCACAUGGUGAAGUGUUUUCAUUAGUAACAUAACCAGGAUCGUCAUGAUAAUCAUCAUCAUCUUUAUCCUUUCAAAAAGUUGAUUGUUUAUCCAUAAUUUGUGAGCUUUUUUCAUCUUCUCUACUUUGCUUGGGGUUAAAAUAAACAUGAAACAUUUUCAUGUUUAUAAUGAACUUACCUCUA